This 1486-nucleotide ribosomal RNA is filed under the name uncultured organism. RNAcentral describes it as "SSU rRNA". It matches the Rfam family "Bacterial small subunit ribosomal RNA". The record is from RNAcentral.
GAACGCUGGCGGCGUGCCUAAUACAUGCAAGUCGAACGAGUUCUGAUUAUUGAAAGGUGCUUGCAUCUUGAUUUAAUUUUGAACGAGUGGCGGACGGGUGAGUAACACGUGGGUAACCUGCCCUUAAGUGGGGGAUAACAUUUGGAAACAGAUGCUAAUACCGCAUAAAUCCAAGAACCGCAUGGUUCUUGGCUGAAAGAUGGCGUAAGCUAUCGCUUUUGGAUGGACCCGCGGCGUAUUAGCUAGUUGGUGAGGUAACGGCUCACCAAGGCAAUGAUACGUAGCCGAACUGAGAGGUUGAUCGGCCACAUUGGGACUGAGACACGGCCCAAACUCCUACGGGAGGCAGCAGUAGGGAAUCUUCCACAAUGGACGCAAGUCUGAUGGAGCAACGCCGCGUGAGUGAAGAAGGCUUUCGGGUCGUAAAACUCUGUUGUUGGAGAAGAAUGGUCGGCAGAGUAACUGUUGUCGGCGUGACGGUAUCCAACCAGAAAGCCACGGCUAACUACGUGCCAGCAGCCGCGGUAAUACGUAGGUGGCAAGCGUUAUCCGGAUUUAUUGGGCGUAAAGCGAGCGCAGGCGGUUUUUUAAGUCUGAUGUGAAAGCCCUCGGCUUAACCGAGGAAGUGCAUCGGAAACUGGGAAACUUGAGUGCAGAAGAGGACAGUGGAACUCCAUGUGUAGCGGUGAAAUGCGUAGAUAUAUGGAAGAACACCAGUGGCGAAGGCGGCUGUCUGGUCUGUAACUGACGCUGAGGCUCGAAAGCAUGGGGUAGCGAACAGGAUUAGAUACCCUGGUAGUCCAUGCCGUAAACGAUGAAUGCUAGGUGUUGGAGGGUUUCCGCCCUUCAGUGCCGCAGCUAACGCAUUAAGCAUUCCGCCUGGGGAGUACGACCGCAAGGUUGAAACUCAAAGGAAUUGACGGGGGCCCGCACAAGCGGUGGAGCAUGUGGUUUAAUUCGAAGCAACGCGAAGAACCUUACCAGGUCUUGACAUCUUUUGAUCACCUGAGAGAUCAGGUUUCCCCUUCGGGGGCAAAAUGACAGGUGGUGCAUGGUUGUCGUCAGCUCGUGUCGUGAGAUGUUGGGUUAAGUCCCGCAACGAGCGCAACCCUUAUGACUAGUUGCCAGCAUUUAGUUGGGCACUCUAGUAAGACUGCCGGUGACAAACCGGAGGAAGGUGGGGAUGACGUCAAAUCAUCAUGCCCCUUAUGACCUGGGCUACACACGUGCUACAAUGGAUGGUACAACGAGUUGCGAGACCGCGAGGUCAAGCUAAUCUCUUAAAGCCAUUCUCAGUUCGGACUGUAGGCUGCAACUCGCCUACACGAAGUCGGAAUCGCUAGUAAUCGCGGAUCAGCACGCCGCGGUGAAUACGUUCCCGGGCCUUGUACACACCGCCCGUCACACCAUGAGAGUUUAUAACACCCGAAGCCGGUGGCGUAACCCUUUUAGGGAGCGAGCCGUCUAAGGUGGGACAAAUGAUUAG